ACGCUGGCGGCGUGCCUAAUACAUGCAAGUCGAGCGAAGUUUUUCUGGUGCUUGCACUAGAAAAACUUAGCGGCGAACGGGUGAGUAACACGUAAAGAACCUGCCUCAUAGACUGGGACAACUAUUGGAAACGAUAGCUAAUACCGGAUAAUAGCAUUAACUGCAUGGUUGAUGUUUGAAAGUUGGUUUUGCUAACACUAUGAGAUGGCUUUGCGGUGCAUUAGCUAGUUGGUGGGGUAAAGGCCUACCAAGGCGACGAUGCAUAGCCGACCUGAGAGGGUGAUCGGCCACACUGGGACUGAGACACGGCCCAGACUCCUACGGGAGGCAGCAGUAGGGAAUCUUCCGCAAUGGGCGAAAGCCUGACGGAGCAACGCCGCGUGAGUGAAGAAGGAUUUCGGUUCGUAAAGCUCUGUUGUUAGGGAAGAAUGAUUAUGUAGUAACUAUACAUAGUAGAGACGGUACCUAACCAGAAAGCCACGGCUAACUACGUGCCAGCAGCCGCGGUAAUACGUAGGUGGCAAGCGUUGUCCGGAAUUAUUGGGCGUAAAGCGCGCGCAGGUGGUUUAAUAAGUCUGAUGUGAAAGCCCACGGCUCAACCGUGGAGGGUCAUUGGAAACUGUUAAACUUGAGUGCAGGAGAGAAAAGUGGAAUUCCUAGUGUAGCGGUGAAAUGCGUAGAGAUUAGGAGGAACACCAGUGGCGAAGGCGGCUUUUUGGCCUGUAACUGACACUGAGGCGCGAAAGCGUGGGGAGCAAACAGGAUUAGAUACCCUGGUAGUCCACGCCGUAAACGAUGAGUGCUAAGUGUUGGUCUCAUAAGAGAUCAGUGCUGCAGCUAACGCAUUAAGCACUCCGCCUGGGGAGUACGACCGCAAGGUUGAAACUCAAAGGAAUUGACGGGGACCCGC
RNAcentral lists this ribosomal RNA (910 nucleotides) under uncultured bacterium. Its description in RNAcentral is "bacterial SSU rRNA". It matches the Rfam family "Bacterial small subunit ribosomal RNA", at positions 33 to 924 of the family's 1533-position model. The record is from RNAcentral.